GAUAAACAGAAAAUAUGGCUGCCCGAGGCAAAGUGCUGACUGAGGAGGAACUUGUGGAGACGAUGAACAAAUCUGGUUUCCUCUCAGUAAAUGAUAGCUCAGAUAUUACCUGUGGCAGUAGUGGGCUGCAACUGACUGAGGCGAGGGGCCAACUACCUAGUAACUAGUGUACCAAAGGAGAAGUCACCAGCUGCAGUACUUUUUUUUUGGAAAUUUUUUUCUAAACACUUUUUCAAAUUUAGUCAAAUUUAGGUUAUUCCUUAUUAAGGUCAAUAUCAAUAUUAAAAUAAAGUACAAUUUAAGUUUAUAAGUUUAUAAUCUAUAGUUUAAGAGUUCCUUUUUCACUGUAAAACUUGUAAUAAACCUUAAUUGAAAACUAC
Molecule: long non-coding RNA, 380 nt
Organism: Eriocheir sinensis (Chinese mitten crab)
Lineage: Eukaryota; Metazoa; Arthropoda; Malacostraca; Decapoda; Varunidae
Exons: 2
Source: RefSeq, a predicted model, not a curated record